CCUCUGGUAGCUCAGUUGGUAGAGCGGUGGACUGUAGAUCCAUAGGUCGCUGGUUCAAAUCCGGCCCCAGAGGA
This 74-nucleotide transfer RNA is filed under the name Schistocerca americana (American grasshopper). Its description in RNAcentral is "tRNA-Tyr". It matches the Rfam family "tRNA". Rfam says of the family: Transfer RNA (tRNA) molecules are approximately 80 nucleotides in length. Their secondary structure includes four short double-helical elements and three loops (D, anti-codon, and T loops). Further hydrogen bonds mediate the characteristic L-shaped molecular structure. tRNAs have two regions of fundamental functional importance: the anti-codon, which is responsible for specific mRNA codon recognition, and the 3' end, to which the tRNAs corresponding amino acid is attached (by aminoacyl-tRNA synthetases). tRNAs cope with the degeneracy of the genetic code in two manners: having more than one tRNA (with a specific anti-codon) for a particular amino acid; and 'wobble' base-pairing, i.e. permitting non-standard base-pairing at the 3rd anti-codon position. Lineage: Eukaryota; Metazoa; Arthropoda; Insecta; Orthoptera; Acrididae. The record is from RNAcentral.